RNAcentral lists this long non-coding RNA (449 nucleotides) under Physcomitrium patens. RNAcentral's name for it is "long non-coding RNA (PPAT_LNC009679)". Lineage: Eukaryota; Viridiplantae; Streptophyta; Bryopsida; Funariales; Funariaceae. The record is from RNAcentral.
AUGUUCCACGUUGUUGUUGUUGUUGUUAACCACGAUGGAUAACAGAAGAGGAAGCUUGUAAACAUCAAUCUUUCUGCUUCUGAUCACUGAUAGCACAGCAGUAACAUAUUUGCAGAUUCUUUUUUACCAAAAACCCUAAAGAUCCUCAAAGCGAAGGCAUUUAUAUAGUUCUGAGCACAGGCUUGGGCUUCAUUGCAGCAGGCAGAAACCCACUCCCCUUAAAUUCAUGGCUCUUGCAUCCCCAUAUGUUAUAAACACACACACGCACACUCCACUGCGCCUGGUUUGAUCAUGUCACUGGUGUAGUUAAAUAAGUAAUACCAACACCCAGUGUGCAUGGCAGUUUUUUUCUACCGACAAGCUGAGGUUGACCCAUUUCUUUGUUCGAUUGACUUACGUAGGGAUCUUUGAAAUGAGAUCACUUGUCGGUGGAAGUUUCGCCAAAGACU